RNAcentral lists this ribosomal RNA (254 nucleotides) under uncultured bacterium. RNAcentral describes it as "partial 16S ribosomal RNA". It matches the Rfam family "Bacterial small subunit ribosomal RNA", at positions 524 to 776 of the family's 1533-position model. The record is from RNAcentral.
GACGUAGGGGCGCGAGCGUUGUCCGGAUUUAUUGGGCGUAAAGAGCUCGUAGGCGGCUUGUCGCGUCGUCCGUGAAAACCUGCAGCUCAACUGCAGGCUUGCGGUCGAUACGGGCAGGCUAGAGUUCGGUAGGGGAGACUGGAAUUCCUGGUGUAGCGGUGAAAUGCGCAGAUAUCAGGAGGAACACCGGUGGCGAAGGCGGGUCUCUGGGCCGAUACUGACGCUGAGGAGCGAAAGCGUGGGGAGCGAACAGG